AUUGAACGCUGGCGGCAGGCCUAACACAUGCAAGUCGAGCGGAUGAAGGGAGCUUGCUCCUGGAUUCAGCGGCGGACGGGUGAGUAAUGCCUAGGAAUCUGCCUGGUAGUGGGGGAUAACGUCCGGAAACGGGCGCUAAUACCGCAUACGUCCUGAGGGAGAAAGUGGGGGAUCUUCGGACCUCACGCUAUCAGAUGAGCCUAGGUCGGAUUAGCUAGCUGGUGGGGUAAAGGCCUACCAAGGCGACGAUCCGUAACUGGUCUGAGAGGAUGAUCAGUCACACUGGAACUGAGACACGGUCCAGACUCCUACGGGAGGCAGCAGUGGGCAAUGUUGGACAAUGGGCGAAAGCCUGGUCCAGCCAUGCCGCGUGUGUGAAGAAGGUCUUCGGAUUGUAAAGCACUUUAAGUUGGGAGGAAGGGCAGUAAGUUAAUACCUUGCUGUUUUGACGUUACCAACAGAAUAAGCACCGGCUAACUUCGUG
Molecule: ribosomal RNA, 484 nt
Filed under: uncultured bacterium
Lineage: Bacteria
Description: partial 16S ribosomal RNA
Rfam family: Bacterial small subunit ribosomal RNA
Source: RNAcentral